UAUAAUUUAAAAUCUAAUGAUAAAUGCAUUGGAUUGAGAUUUAAAUUGUUAACAAUGUUUUAAAUCUCAGCCUUUUCUUUUAAGUAUCGGAACUUCAGUAAAUGAUUGGAAUAAUCAAUCAUCGGAAGGUUUAAUUGCUAAGGGAAAUCGGUAAUUCAUAAAAGCUGAGCACAUCUUUUGCUCAAUUUCAUGUAAAUAACUGAAAAAAACAAAUGAAAUUGACAUUAACUGAGUCCAUCAGUUUGAAUUAAUAGAAGGUUUGAAUUAAUAGAAGAUAAAUGAUAACAAUUAGCACGGUUUUGUGCAAUACGAUUUAUCAAUUAGUUACUGUUACUUGCAUUAGUUUAUGAUUCGGGUAAAAACCUGACAAUCUUAUUUACAAGAAUGCUUGUCAAGUUACAAGCUCAUGUUUAUUGAUUAUGGGUUAAGUAAUCAGUUAAAUCAUCAACUAUUGACUUCUAAAUCCUAAUGGCAAAGUUGAUUACAGUCACUCGAUUAGUAAUUCAGUCAACGUGAUCAAUGUUUUUAUAUCAAUUGCAGUUAGAUUUUGUUUCUGUGUUUCUUCAAAGAUGGACAGUUAAUAAAACAAUUAAAAAAACAGUUAAAAAGGUUAAAGGCUAAUUGUGUACAUUCAACUGUAAACAUGUCAGGGUCAGUGUUAAAUAAUUGAAAACUGAUCAACAAACAACAACAAUUUAAGACUAAUGCAACAUCAAUAAUGGAUUGCGGAUUAGCAUAUAAAUAUUGAAAAGGUUGAACAGUUUGAUUGACCUGAUCAGGUAGUUUCAACGUAAAAUAAAUGUUAAUAUUGCAUCAACUUGAACCAAGUAAAAGAUCAUUUCACUUUUAAUUUGAAACGUAAAUUAACUGUGAUUUUCAUCAUUAGCAUCAUCUUUAAUCUCUUGAUUAGUUCAAGUUGUAAAGGUUAACUGUGAAUUUUGUUUUAAAGGUGAAGGCUAAUAACAAUCAAGAGAAACAAUUGAAUCAAUAACCUUUUGGUUUGUUGUCAAAAAUGGCUAAACAUUAACAUGAAAGGUAAAAUAAGUCAAGUAAAACUGAUGAAAGGGUAAAACAAAAUGGAUAACAAAAAGAAGGUUAAAUUGUUGAUAAAUUGAUCAACAAGGUUUAACCUAUUACUUUAAUAGAGUGAAAUUAAAGCGGAAGUUUUCAUGAUAAUCUCAUUGGACUCGUCAUUGGAUUUGAAAUAAUACAAAUAAACAUUAAAACUUGUCAUAGUUACAAGACCUUCAAUCAUUUUCUUGGUUUAAUUGUUGUUGUAUUGUUUAUUGUUGAUAGUUUAAUCAUCAUCAACAUGACCAUCGAUCAAGACAAGAAUUGAAAGUGAAGCUGAACAAUUAACAAGUGAAAACAGAUUUGAUUGUAAAUCACAAAAUUGGGUGAAAAAUUGUUAACAAAGUAAAUGGACUUUAACUAUAAGAAAUGAUUGGAUUGAAUCUAAAUCUAAAUCAAUGGUAAAAAAAAUUGAAUUCAACUUUUACUUUCACGUUUCCAUCAAAACUCAUUUCCUGACCUCAUCUUGAUUUGGGAAACCCGAAAGGUCAUCAAAAAAUUACCGUUUAUAAAAGCAAAAAAUGAACCAACAAGUUAUUUGAAAGCAUCAAUAAUAGUGUUUAAAUCAAGUUGAUCGGAUGAUGAUCAUAUUGAUUAUGAUGAUAAUUAUGAAACCAUUUACUCCGCCUUCAUAAAAUGACCUUAACUAAGGAUAAGCCAAUGACCAGGUUGAAGGUGGGAAAUUAAGUUCAUUAAUAGGAUAAGAAACAGUGAAAGUCUACAAAACUGUUGAGAGGGAAAGUGUAUUAUUAUUGUCAUUAUAUUAACAUUACUAUUGUGUGAAUUACAUUGGCCUAAAUAAUGGUCAAAAUGUAUCUUUCCUUCUCGGUCAUCUGAUUGACCAUAAAAAUGCUCCUCAUCGCUUCAAGUUAGCCUUACAAAACGUUUUACCUUCAACAAGGUAACUACAAAAUAUUGGAUAUUAUUUAAGUUGACUUUUGAACGAUAUUUUAUACACUUUAACUGAUCUUUUUCAUUUCAACAAUUUCAUAUUUACUUGUUUGUUAAUCUAGUAAAAUUAGUUAAUUAGUGCAAUCAACUGACUAUGGAUCAACGUUACAUUAUUUUGGCCUGUUUUUUGUGUUUCCUUCUCUUGGUAACCAUUGAUGAAACUGGUUUAGUUGAAGGUAAAAAACACAAGCUUUUUGGUAAAAUAAUCAAGAAAAAAAUCUUCAAAUCACUGAAAAAGAAAAAGUUUAUUCCUUUGCCAAUUCCAAUUCCAUUUAAGAGUGGAUUCAAUGUUCAUCAUCAUCAUCACUACUCAUCAUGGCAACAACCUCAUCACAUGAGCUUUGGUGGCGGUGGAGGAGGUUGGUGGUGAUCGAGUUAAUCAUUUUAACCAACUGAAUCAAGGAUCACAAAUGGCCAAACAAUUAUAAUCAAUGAAACAAUUAGGUACACAAAUGUAAAUAAAACUACUCAAUGAAGGAACAGGUUUCUCCAAUAAGUUAAACUUUGAUUGCGAUAAUAAUCAUUUACGUUUGAAAAUUGUCAUGUAAUUUUGUUUAACCAUUUUAUUAAAACAAUUUAAUUUAACUGAAAACUCAACUCGUCUUUUUUUGAACAAAAAAUUGGCUAUUUUUAGCUGUUUUCAACGAGAUUUCAGUUUACUUUAUCGUUCAUGUUACUAUUGGCAAGAUAAGGAUUGUGAAUGUUUGCCAAAAAUUAAUUACUUCCGAUUUUUAAUUCAAUUAGUAAAGGUCAGUGCUAUUGUAUUGAUAUUUGUCAGCUAUUUAAGGAGUUAUUUGGUUAUUGUUAACCACGCAAGAAUCAGUGUUUCAAUCAAUGUUUCAAUCAGUUUUUUCAAUGAAUACAAAUAAUGUAUUUUGUGAAAAAAAAAACAAAGGACAAGGUGAGAUGAUUAAGCGUCAAUUAUAAUUGUCACCUUGAUUGUGAGCUUUUUAUUUUACCAUUCAACUCAAUUGAAAAGGUAAAUCAAAUACAGGAAUAACAUUUGUUUCGAAAUAAAUCAUUACCAGAAUCACAAUCAAUGACAAGACUUGGUAAUGCAAUCGGAAUAGUCAACGUUAAAACUAAAAUUAACAUUUGAUUAAAAGUGAAAUAAUUUGAUUUUUAAAUGAAAUUCUAAUUUCAGAGUGAAAUACAAAGAGUUGAUUGUAUUAUCUGAGCUCAACGAUUGAAGCUCUUGAAUUGAUUGGAAAAUUUUGUUAACAAUUAUUUUAUUUGAACCAGGAAGAUGAAAUAAGAUUCAAUAGUAAUCUGAUAAACGAGUUAAUUUAGGAAACAAUUAAUCCAAGAGUUAGAGCAAAGUGCAAAUAAAGCUUAAAUUGAGAUCUAAGUAAACAUUAGGCUUGUUGAUCAAAUAAUGAUCAAAAUUUGCCAUUUCCAGAUAAUAAAGUCUUGCAUUUGAUAAUGAUGAUCAUAGUAGCUUGAGAUUGGCGAAAAAUUGAUUUUAAAAUCAAGUUUACAGGUUAAUUAGAUUAAAAUGAUUAAAAUCAACCUACAAAAGUAUCUCUAUGUGGCUGAGAAAUGAACAAUUACAACUAGCUGUGCAUUAAACAAUUGACUUGAUAAGUUAAUCAUUGUUAUCAUUGGGUUGAUUGUUGAUUGUUGAUCAAAUAACGCAAAUGAAAAGGUCAACAUUGUAUAACCAAAGCCUACACAAAAAUUAUCAUUAUUGUGUGAGAUAUGAGUUUGGCUGCUUGUUACGUUAAUUGUAGGUCACAUUGGGUGUCUGCAAUUAAACUACGCAUAAUGAUUAAGAAGGUGAAAGUUGUUAUGAUUUAUGGGAUUGAUGAAUCAGAGAGAUGAUUGAAGAUGAAUUGAUUGUCACAAUAUCCGGGUUGAUUUGGAGGAUUAACCCAAUCAAUUUAAAACAGACUGACCAACAAUUAAACCCGCAUUGGGCAAAUUGAUGAAAAUGAUGAGUGCGAAUCAAACCAUCAACCAGGAGGUUACUAACAACAAGCUUAAUUACAUAAGCAUUAGUGGUAAAUGUAAUUGAUAAAUUGCUAACAGUAGCUCAGCGUGUUUACAGAUUUGUUUUGUUUCAAUCGUCUUCCGAGCCAAUUUAACCUUUUUUUACCAACAUCAUCAUUAUCACCAAAUAAUGAAUUGAUGAAUUCAGGACAAUUGAAAUUUUUACUUGAAACAAACAAACAAUAAUAAAGGGUAAAGUAGCCUUUCAAUUUUACAGCAAUUGAUAGUUUGAUAUUGUAUUUGCUAAGUAAACAUAAAUCAAUCUGUUAAUUCCUAUCGAUUAUGAGAAAAUAAUAAAACUAAAUUGAAUAAGAUGAUGGUAAUGAUGAUGAGGGAUAAUGAAGGAGCAAUAGUUGUAAUACAAGUUACAAUAAAAAUGUUUUCAUCUUCGGAUAGUCCGGCCCUAUUCAAUAGUGAAACUAAUAUACAAAUGACAAGAGAAUCAUGAUAUUGGGGUGAGAUGAUGAUGGAAGGAGGAUGAGGAGGGAUUAAUAGAAAAGUGAAAUGUCCAUCCUUAUGGAUACGAUCGGACAAUUGGAUGGACUUUUAUGAUUAACGAAAGAUGCACAUUGAAGGAGGCUUUGAGGCUUCCUUUUUUUGGCUUUAUAUAAAUAUGAUGGACUAAAUCAAUAGUCAUUUCAAUAUAAAUUUCAAUUUGAUUCAAGUAAUUUUUACUUUCAAUAUUCAAUUUGUGGCUACUUUAACCAGGAUUUAUUGGCCAGUUAUCAACGUUACGUCUAAAUCAGUGAAUACUCAAUAAUUGUGAUUGUUCAUCAGCUAUACAUUCGUGUUCAAUAUUUUGUUUUAUUUACGGUGUUUAGUGACAAUAUUUUAUUUAUAUUUUCCCUUUGCAUUUCUAUUUUUCAUUUUUUCAUUUCUAUUGAUUCAAAUUGAUAUUCAAAAUGAACAAGCAAUCUUUGAUUCUUCAUUUAACUCUUGCUGUUAUAUUGGUUACUCUCAUUUAUCCCUAUCAAGUUCAUGGAUUCAAGAAAAUUUUCUACAAAAAGCUAAUCAAAGCUGGAAUCUUGGGAAAACUUUUACUUGGAGGGAAAAAAGUUAUCAUUGCAUUCCCAAUGCCAAUACCAAUACGGCAUGAAAUGUCCUCACCCUGGAGUGGCGGUAGUGUUGGUUUUGCAGGUAAUGGAGGUGGUAAUUGGCCAAGUAUGUGGAGCGGAGGGUGGGAGUCACCAUCAUCACCUUGGUCUUUUUAACCUCCAAAUGAAAUGAGUAAUGUAUUAAUAAUAAUACCUGAUAAUUGUACAAUCUCUUCCUUUCUUUAAUACAUAGCUGUAAUGGCAUGUUACUCUGAAACAAUUUUGUAACUCUAAUUUGAAUAUUUGCUAAAUUAACAUGAAAAACGCUCAAGAAAAGCAAAAAAUAAAGUAAUACAUUUCAUUUUUCCUCGUCUUCUUCCGUGAUUCUUUCUUCAAAUGUCAACAUCAUGUCCAUUGCUAUUAAAUUCAUGGUUCAAAAUUACUUGUUACCAAUUUGUUAAUACACUUUACACUUUUUUAAAUUACUGGGGUCAAUGCAACAGUCUUUCAAUUUUAGCCUUAACAGCCAAGUCUAAGUGCAUUAUACUGAAUAGCCAUAUGAAAAAAACUAGCAAUUAAUGUAAUAAAGACAAAGUAUCAAGGUAAAUUUUAGGUAAAACACUGAGAAAAUUAAAGGUUAGAGACUUUAAGAAGGCUGAAAUAAUGGCUUUGUUUACCGAGAAAAAAAAACUUAACCGACUCUGGGUUAAUUAAAUAUAUGAUAUUCUGGUUUUUAUCAUUUACAGGAAAUUGGUAUGAAAAAAUUAAAGGAACCGU
Tetranychus urticae (two-spotted spider mite) is the source of this 5822-nucleotide long non-coding RNA. RefSeq lists it as uncharacterized. NCBI's taxonomy places the organism in Eukaryota, Metazoa, Arthropoda, Arachnida, Trombidiformes, Tetranychidae. The record is from RefSeq and is a predicted model, not a curated record.